ACCUGCAUGGUCAUCGCAACU
This 21-nucleotide microRNA is filed under the name Ananas comosus (pineapple). RNAcentral describes it as "microRNA s0741_c95a". The record is from RNAcentral. Lineage: Eukaryota; Viridiplantae; Streptophyta; Magnoliopsida; Poales; Bromeliaceae.